Molecule: ribosomal RNA, 85 nt
Filed under: Clostridium tyrobutyricum
Lineage: Bacteria; Bacillati; Bacillota; Clostridia; Eubacteriales; Clostridiaceae
Source: RNAcentral
UGAUCUGGUAACAAUGACGUGAAGGUAACACUCCUUCCCAUUCCGAACAGGCAGGUUAAGCUUCAUUGUGCCGAUAGUACUGCAG